GAUGAACGCUGGCGGCGUGCCUAAUACAUGCAAGUCGAGCGAACAGAUGAGGAGCUUGCUCCUCUGACGUUAGCGGCGGACGGGUGAGUAACACGUGGAUAACCUACCUAUAAGACUGGGAUAACUUCGGGAAACCGGAGCUAAUACCGGAUAAUAUAUUGAACCGCAUGGUUCAAUAGUGAAAGACGGUUUUGCUGUCACUUAUAGAUGGAUCCGCGGCGCAUUAGCUAGUUGGUAAGGUAACGGCUUACCAAGGCAACGAUGCGUAGCCGACCUGAGAGGGUGAACGGCCACACUGGAACUGAGACACGGUCCAGACUCCUACGGGAGGCAGCAGUAGGGAAUCUUCCGCAAUGGGCGAAAGCCUGACGGAGCACCGCCGCGUGAGUGAUGAAGGUCUUCGGAUCGUAAAACUCUGUUAUUAGGGAAGAACAAAUGUGUAAGUAACUAUGCACGUCUUGACGGUACCUAAUCAGAAAGCCACGGCUAACUACGUG
This 497-nucleotide ribosomal RNA is filed under the name uncultured bacterium. Its description in RNAcentral is "partial 16S ribosomal RNA". It matches the Rfam family "Bacterial small subunit ribosomal RNA", at positions 28 to 507 of the family's 1533-position model. The record is from RNAcentral.